CAGACCUCGAGCUAGUCCAGCAUUCUGUUUGUUUCAGAUUUCCACCUACAAGACAGUGUCUGGUGUUAAUGGACCGUUGGUGAUCUUGGACCAAGUGAAGUUUCCAAGGUUUGCAGAGAUUGUACACUUGACUCUACCUGAUGGAUCCAUUCGAAGUGGACAAGUUCUGGAAGUUAGUGGCAGUAAGGCUGUUGUACAGGUUUUUGAGGGGACAUCAGGUAUUGAUGCCAAGAAAACAGCCUGUGAAUUUACAGGUGAUAUACUUCGCACACCUGUUUCUGAGGACAUGCUUGGUAAGUAGAU
This is a long non-coding RNA of Rhincodon typus (whale shark), 303 nucleotides long. RefSeq lists it as uncharacterized. Lineage: Eukaryota; Metazoa; Chordata; Chondrichthyes; Orectolobiformes; Rhincodontidae. The transcript has 4 exons. The record is from RefSeq and is a predicted model, not a curated record.